GUGAGUAAUACAUCGGAACGUGCCCGAGAGUGGGGGAUAACGAGGCGAAAGCUUUGCUAAUACCGCAUACGAUCUCAGGAUGAAAGCAGGGGACCGCAAGGCCUUGCGCUCACGGAGCGGCCGAUGGCAGAUUAGGUAGUUGGUGGGAUAAAAGCUUACCAAGCCGACGAUCUGUAGCUGGUCUGAGAGGACGACCAGCCACACUGGGACUGAGACACGGCCCAGACUCCUACGGGAGGCAGCAGUGGGGAAUUUUGGACAAUGGGCGCAAGCCUGAUCCAGCCAUGCCGCGUGCAGGAUGAAGGCCUUCGGGUUGUAAACUGCUUUUGUACGGAACGAAAAGACUCUGGUUAAUACCUGGGGUCCAUGACGGUACCGUAAGAAUA
This 386-nucleotide ribosomal RNA is filed under the name uncultured bacterium. RNAcentral's name for it is "bacterial SSU rRNA". It matches the Rfam family "Bacterial small subunit ribosomal RNA", at positions 106 to 488 of the family's 1533-position model. The record is from RNAcentral.